CAGCCGCCACGGUAAUACGGAGGGUGCAAGCGUUAAUCGGAAUUACUGGGCGUAAAGCGUGCGUAGGCGGGAGGGCACGUCCGUCGCUGAAAUCCCCCGGCUCAACCGGGGAACGGGCGCGGAUACGACUCUUCUGGAGGAACGUAGGGGGACCUGGAACUUCCGGUGGAGCGGUGAAAUGCGUUGAGAUCGGAAGGAACGCCCGUGGCGAAAGCGAGGUCCUGGACGUUUACUGACGCUGAGACGCGAAAGCCAGGGGAGCGAACGGGAUUAGAUACCCGCGUAGUCCCUGUCUCUUAUA
Molecule: ribosomal RNA, 301 nt
Filed under: uncultured bacterium
Lineage: Bacteria
Description: partial 16S ribosomal RNA
Rfam family: Bacterial small subunit ribosomal RNA
Source: RNAcentral